AUCUACACCGAUGAGGAGGCCUAUUGGCGCCUUCGGGGCGCACAGAAAUGGGUCUUGAAGGGAGACGCGAAUACGGCAUACUUCCAGGCUAUCGCCAAUGGCCGCCGUAGACGCAACACCAUCCCCCUUCUAUGGGAUGGGGAGCUCUCCUUCAGGACCCGCGCGACAUCCGGGCCCACGUUGACGGCUUCUAUAGGUCCCUAUUCUCUGCCGCUCCUAGGAGCGGCAUCUCUCUCGCCCCCGAUUGUUGGGCUGGUUCCCAGCUAG
RNAcentral lists this ribosomal RNA (267 nucleotides) under Triticum aestivum (bread wheat). Its description in RNAcentral is "partial small subunit ribosomal RNA". Lineage: Eukaryota; Viridiplantae; Streptophyta; Magnoliopsida; Poales; Poaceae. The record is from RNAcentral.